This is a long non-coding RNA of Prunus persica (peach), 135 nucleotides long. RefSeq lists it as uncharacterized. The transcript has 2 exons. The record is from RefSeq and is a predicted model, not a curated record. Lineage: Eukaryota; Viridiplantae; Streptophyta; Magnoliopsida; Rosales; Rosaceae.
CUGUUCCCGAGAUGAGAAAGUUGAACAAUUAUUUUUUCCAGAGCAAAGAGUCAGUUCAGUUGCGGGCGCUAUGUCCGAGUGAAGAGGAAAUGAGACAACCAUAUUGGAGUUGGCCACAGGAUCGCCCUGCUGUUG